Molecule: long non-coding RNA, 772 nt
Organism: Dermochelys coriacea (leatherback sea turtle)
Lineage: Eukaryota; Metazoa; Chordata; Testudines; Dermochelyidae
Exons: 2
Source: RefSeq, a predicted model, not a curated record
AGAACACCUAAUGUUUACAUAAAAAUAAUAAUAAAAAGAAACACUUUGGUCUUUAAAGCCCCCACAGCUUCAGUGCUUACAAAAGCUAAAGCCAAAAAAAGUAGUCACUGCUUUUAACAAUGGUUGUUAAAAAAAAAUUAGAAAACUGAAAACUACCCUAACAAAACACCUAAUUUCCCAGUUAGUAACUGCUGUGUAAAUGCUGAGGCCACCACUUUGUAAAAUAUACAUUUUAAUCUCAUCACUGCUGUGAACAAUUACAUUAUUGGCCUGCAAAUAAAGUCCUACAAUUAAAUCUUAGGUUUCAAAUACCUUUUAAUUAAACUACCUUAAUACCAAACCAAUUCCAAAACCUACACUCACUCCUACCAAAGGUUAAAAAAAAUCUCUAAAUUACAAGGCCAAAUCUAUGGGCUUCAAAAUAUAUAUCAAAUUAAAAAACAUGCCUUUCAUAAGUCUAUAAAGCAUUUAUUUUAUGGACUAAUUAUAAUGUAUUGUGCUAUGUAACUAAGGCUACAAAAUAACCCCAGCAUACUAUUACAACAACAACAUUGUUUUUUAUUGUUUCUGUUUAAUUUAAAAAUGUUGUUAUAAAAAAACAAAAAUACCUUUCAUGUUCAUACUAAUUAUGCAUUAUUGUUACAUCCAACCAAAAGUUAUGGGCUAAUCCUGAUCCUUUUAAUCUAAAAUCAAACAUACAAGGACUAAAAAAUAAAAAGUUUAAAAAUGAUGGUUGUGCUAAAAGCACUAAAGGGGGGGGGGGAGUGUGAAA